RNAcentral lists this ribosomal RNA (253 nucleotides) under uncultured bacterium. RNAcentral describes it as "partial 16S ribosomal RNA". It matches the Rfam family "Bacterial small subunit ribosomal RNA", at positions 524 to 776 of the family's 1533-position model. The record is from RNAcentral.
UACGUAGGGGGCAAGCGUUAUCCGGAUUUACUGGGUGUAAAGGGAGCGUAGACGGCAGAGCAAGUCUGAAGUGAAAGCCCGCGGCCCAACUGCGGGACUGCUUUGGAAACUGCCCGGCUAGAGUGCUGGAGAGGUAAGUGGAAUUCCUAGUGUAGCGGUGAAAUGCGUAGAUAUUAGGAGGAACACCAGUGGCGAAGGCGGCUUACUGGACAGUAACUGACGUUGAGGCUCGAAAGCGUGGGGAGCAAACAGG